This 208-nucleotide ribosomal RNA is filed under the name Lotharella globosa. RNAcentral's name for it is "partial Bacterial small subunit ribosomal RNA". It matches the Rfam family "Bacterial small subunit ribosomal RNA", at positions 545 to 752 of the family's 1533-position model. The record is from RNAcentral. Lineage: Eukaryota; Cercozoa; Chlorarachniophyceae.
UCGGAAUUACUGGGCGUAAAGCGUGCGCAGGCGGUUAUGCAAGACAGAGGUGAAAUCCCCGGGCUCAACCUGGGAACUGCCUUUGUGACUGCAUGGCUAGAGUACGGUAGAGGGGGAUGGAAUUCCGCGUGUAGCAGUGAAAUGCGUAGAUAUGCGGAGGAACACCGAUGGCGAAGGCAAUCCCCUGGACCUGUACUGACGCUCAUGC